CCUCUGGUAUUUGUGUGCUCAGAGUUUCACAUGGAGCACUUCAACACAAUGUGGCUGCUUGGGGGAGCGGGAGGAACAGCACACUUUUAACAAGUGUCCUUGAGGCAGAACAACAGGAAGGCACAUUGCCACGCAUCAGCCUUUAUUUAUGCAUAUGUAGUGCAAGUUUAGGGACGAGGAGCUCAGAGGAUGGAGAAAGGCAUAUGGUGGUUAUGUAUCCACCCUGGCAGAGCAGGUAAUGGGCAGCAGGACAUCUAAGACCCACCUCACUGAAAACUGAAACGCAAGAGGAGGGAGCUCUGCAGGAGGAAAUCUGCUGCAUUACCUAUGAACAGGACAAUGGCCCCCAAUGAGUCACCCUAUUCAUAUAUUUUUGGAACCCAGAGGAAUUGGUUUGACUAUUUACAGAUUAUAACAGUUGGUAGUUGAAUGUUUUAUUUUCAUUCCCAGUUGGUACAAUAUGUUCACAGCUGAUGCUAAUGGCUUGCCCAUUUGAUAUCACAUAUGGUCCACUAUUUGGGUCUCCUAAAGCUUUCUUUUGUGGUCAGGCUGCUUUAAAACUUUCAUAUAUUUAGGUUUGUUUUGUCUGCUGGAAAGGUGACUAAGAAACUCUGAAACUUGGCAGCUUUAGAGUAAAUCAGCAAUUCUGUUGAUAAAGAUUCAAAGAAUUUGUGACUAAAUGUCCAGUAAAGAAUAUUUUUAUAUAAAAAUGCCUUACAGCAUCAUGUGAAAUUUUAAAAGAAAUGUCCUUUCCUUGUCUUUGAAGCUGUGAUUGACUUACCUUCCAAUGUAUUGGCACCAUUGAGCAUCAUCAGGACUACUUUUUCUGGGUGUUCUGUUGCACUGGAAAACAAUUUAUGCAUAAUUUGUAUUGCUUAAAUCACUAUUUAUAUUUCUAUUUGAAUAUUAAUGU
Molecule: long non-coding RNA, 913 nt
Organism: Lepidothrix coronata (blue-crowned manakin)
Lineage: Eukaryota; Metazoa; Chordata; Aves; Passeriformes; Pipridae
Exons: 3
Source: RefSeq, a predicted model, not a curated record